RNAcentral lists this ribosomal RNA (498 nucleotides) under uncultured bacterium. RNAcentral describes it as "bacterial SSU rRNA". It matches the Rfam family "Bacterial small subunit ribosomal RNA", at positions 29 to 514 of the family's 1533-position model. The record is from RNAcentral.
AGUGAACGCUGGCGGCAGGCCUAAUACAUGCAAGUCGAACGGCAGCACAGCAGAGCUUGCUCUGUGGGUGGCGAGUGGCGGACGGGUGAGGAAUACAUGGGAAUCUGCCCAGUCGUGGGGGAUAACGUAUGGAAACGUACGCUAAUACCGCAUGCGCCCUACGGGGGAAAGUCGGGGACCGCAAGGCCUGACGCGAUUGGAUGAGCCCAUGUUCGAUUAGCUAGUUGGCGGGGUAAAGGCCCACCAAGGCGACGAUCGAUAGCUGGUCUGAGAGGAUGAUCAGACCACACUGGAACUGAGACACGGUCCAGACUCCUACGGGGGGCAGCAGUAGGGAAUAUUGGACAAUGGGGGCAACCCUGAUCCAGCCAUGCCGCGUGAGUGAAGAAGGCCCUCGGGUUGUAAAGCUCUUUUGUCCGGAAAGAAAAGCAAUCGGUUAAUACCCGGUUGUUCUGACGGUACCGGAAGAAUAAGCACCGGCUAACUUCGUGCCAGCAG